Non-coding RNA from Vicia faba (fava bean), 273 nucleotides. The record is from the annotation of a GenBank genome assembly. Lineage: Eukaryota; Viridiplantae; Streptophyta; Magnoliopsida; Fabales; Fabaceae.
AUGAACAAAACGGAGAUAUCGAUUCAAAUAAAGUGUGAAAUUUAUGAUACAGCUAGUUCAAUUUGGAUAGAAACAACAACAACAGUAAGGCAAAAACGAAGGAGGAAAAGAAUUACCAAGUCGGAGUUCCUCCCAAGGGUCUUCGUACCUCUCAGGUAUUUAUGGUUUCAUUUUGGCCAUGUUUUGGAUAGCAAGAAUAAGGAUAAUGCAGCAGGGGCAGAAGCACUGUUUUUUGUAGGCAAUAGGUUUUGGAGCAGUAAGGUUUUGGACUAA